RNAcentral lists this ribosomal RNA (253 nucleotides) under uncultured bacterium. Its description in RNAcentral is "partial 16S ribosomal RNA". It matches the Rfam family "Bacterial small subunit ribosomal RNA", at positions 524 to 776 of the family's 1533-position model. The record is from RNAcentral.
UACGGAGGGGGCUAGCGUUGUUCGGAAUUACUGGGCGUAAAGCGCACGUAGGCGGCUUUGUAAGUUAGAGGUGAAAGCCCGGGGCUCAACUCCGGAAUUGCCUUUAAGACUGCAUCGCUAGAAUUGUGGAGAGGUAAGUGGAAUUCCCAGUGUAGAGGUGAAAUUCGUAGAUAUUGGGAAGAACACCGGUGGCGAAGGCGGCUCACUGGCUCGUAACUGACGCUCAUGCACGACAGCGUGGGGAUCAAACAGG